UGGGGAAUUGUUCGCAAUGGGCGCAAGCCUGACGACGCAACGCCGCGUGGAGGAUGACGAUUUUCGGAUCGUAAACUCCUGUCGAAUGGGACGAACAGAUCUCGGGUGAACAAUCCGAGGUCCUGACGGUACCGUUAAAGGAAAACCCGGCUAACUCCGUGCCAGCAGCCGCGGUAAUACGGGGGGGGUAAGCGUUGUUCGGAAUUACUGGGCGUAAAGGGCUCGUAGGCGGCCAACUAAGUCAGACGUGAAAUCCCUCAGCUUAACUGGGGAACUGCGUCUGAUACUGGAUGGCUUGGAUUCGGGAGAGGAAUGCGGAAUUCCAGGUGUAGCGGUGAAAUGCGUAGAUAUCUGGAGGAACACCGGUGGCGAAGGCGGCAUUCUGGACCGACAUUGACGCUGAGGAGCGAAAGCCAGGGGAGCAAA
RNAcentral lists this ribosomal RNA (426 nucleotides) under uncultured bacterium. RNAcentral describes it as "bacterial SSU rRNA". It matches the Rfam family "Bacterial small subunit ribosomal RNA", at positions 355 to 772 of the family's 1533-position model. The record is from RNAcentral.